UGGGUUCGGCCGCCGACUCCGCCGAUCUCCCCACUAGGUCCAAGUCGGGCACAAGUAGAUAAUCGAUAGAUAGAUAGAUAAGGAAAGCGGUAAAUGACAGAAGUAAAGCUACGCUACUAUGCCCAAUCAUAAAUAUAUGAAUGCAUGUACAAUGAAAUAGAUAAACAACUAACCCAUUAUCAUGUCCAAAGGUAAAGCUAUUUACUCGUUCAUCAAUCUCAUUUACUUGUUUCUUAAUCUCGUGGCUUCCCUGAAGGAGCCUACUGCUCACUAGCCAUCUCGAAGGUAGGGAGGGUCAACUCGCACUACGAACCGAGACCGUCUGCCGGGGCCUAAAUAGGCAAACCCUUGGGACCCAAAAUAGGCGAUCCCACGUGACCAACAUCCGGAGCGCACUACUUGUGUGGGGCUUCCAUCACAAGAUUUAGAAACAGACCGUGAGCAUGAUCCAAUCCUCGUCUCGAGAAUACCCUAUCCUCUAGGGUUACAAUCAUCAUAUAGUCCAUAGGUUUCACAUACACUACGACUCAUAUGUGUCGUUUGUUCUUUUGCUUACUAUCAACUAAAUUGCCACUCGUCCAUUGUUUACUAUCGACUAGAUGCCACUCGUUCUUUGUUUAACAUUAGACCAACCAUUGAGCCCAUCACUUUCUCUGCACUAUAGGAUUCCCAAGUCUCGACCCAAUCCUUAUCAAUCCACUAUAUCAAAUAUUCAAUACAUGCUACGAUAUCAUCAAGGAAGGCAUAAGGAAAGGCAAUGCAUAAUCAUCCUAUAAUGCAAUAAUACAAGAUGCAAGGAUCGACAUGUACUAAGACAUAGAAGGGAGCCCGAUUGCUUCGGGAUGGACACCACCCACCUCUUGGCGAUGCCGCGAAGGUAGAAAACUCGACGUUGCGGUUCUUGUACGCCGCUUCAACUCCUCGGGGCAAAGCGAGCCCUCGAGUACCCGAUUCGGCGAUAACUCCGCACUCACUCGUCGGAUCGGCAAACCAUCUUCGCCGACGCGUUCCGAGACCUAGCAAUUUGGUUUACGACCUAUUAAAAUAGAUCAAAACCCUAGAUUUACCAAAAUCCCAAAUCCGUGCCCUAGAAUGGCAACGGGGAAGAAAUCCGUGGUGCGAGCUUCGAUUUCGAGCUCGAACCAUCUACUUAUCCCCAAUAGGUUCCAUUUGAACCAAUCCUGAUCAACAAAACCCAACCCUAAGAAAUCUACCAUGAGUGGGUUUGGAGCUUACCUCUAAGCCAAGCUCCAAGCUUGCCCUAGGUUGGAGGAGAGAGGGAAGAAUAUGAUCUUCUUCUUCUUCUUGGACUUCUCCUUCUACUUCUUCAUCUUUUCCUUCUUUUCUUUCUUCUCCUUCUUCUUCUCCUUCUUUUCUUUCUUUUCUAGAGAGAGAGGGAAAGGGUGUGAAAGAGAGAGAGAAAGAGCAACUGAGGGAGAGAGAGGGGUCCCCCACCUUUAUUAAAGGCCAUUUUGUAGAUAGCCCCCUCAACUUUUCAUUUCCUGAAACAGCCCUCCCUGGGCCAUUUUCGCAGCGAGGGACCGGUCCCUGCUCGGGGAGACCGGUCCCCGAAAGCUGCACAACCAGGCAGAGGGGAUUUCGCGUUCGGGAACCGGUUCUUGCUUGAGAGACCGGUCCCCGGGAAACCGGUCCUUGUCCGAGAGACCGGUUCCCGAAAGCUGAGUUUUCGGGACUUAGCCAAAUUU
This 1706-nucleotide long non-coding RNA is filed under the name Ananas comosus (pineapple). RNAcentral's name for it is "long non-coding RNA (ACOM_LNC003686)". The record is from RNAcentral. Lineage: Eukaryota; Viridiplantae; Streptophyta; Magnoliopsida; Poales; Bromeliaceae.